Molecule: long non-coding RNA, 560 nt
Organism: Nicotiana attenuata
Lineage: Eukaryota; Viridiplantae; Streptophyta; Magnoliopsida; Solanales; Solanaceae
Exons: 2
Source: RefSeq, a predicted model, not a curated record
GCUUAGGCGCAAGACUCGCCUUAGAACCAAGACCCACGCCUGAUGGAACUUAACCAAUUGAAGGAUAACUUUGACAAUUGCCCUAAUAUUUUUUAAACCCUCUUUCGUUUUACCCCAAAUCUGUCCUCACCCCAUUAAUAAAAAGCCCUAACCUUGUUCGGCGGUGAAGAAUCGUCCACACUCCACAGUCAUGCUCCAUAGAACCUUGAGCUUUCUCCUCAACUCCUGGAGCUUUUUACUUCACUAAUCACUCUAACUCCGAAAAUUAUAACAGAAUCUUCAACCUAAUAUGGACUCUUGUAUAAAAGAUGAAUCCUAUUUAGUCAAUAAAUCUUAUAGAAAGAUUGAUUUGCCUCACCAGAAGGAGCGAUAUGCAAAUACUAAAACCAAAGUGUUAAAAUUAUUUUUUUCCUUUCUUUAGAAGUAACAAAGCUAUUGUUGAGACUUGAGAGAUGAUAUAGUUUUUGUGCAUUUCUGCUUUUUGUGGAAGAUGAGUGCCAUUUUUGCUCUUAACAAUGAUACCAAUGUAUCUCUGACCAAAUUCUUUUGUUUGCACCAAA